RNAcentral lists this ribosomal RNA (253 nucleotides) under uncultured bacterium. RNAcentral's name for it is "partial 16S ribosomal RNA". It matches the Rfam family "Bacterial small subunit ribosomal RNA", at positions 524 to 776 of the family's 1533-position model. The record is from RNAcentral.
CACGUAGGGCGCAAGCGUUGUCCGGAAUUAUUGGGCGUAAAGAGCUCGUAGGCGGUCUGUCGCGUCGGCUGUGAAAACCCGAGGCUCAACCUCGGGCCUGCAGUCGAUACGGGCAAACUAGAGUACUGCAGGGGAGACUGGAAUUCCUGGUGUAGCGGUGGAAUGCGCAGAUAUCAGGAGGAAUACCGGUGGCGAAGGCGGCAUCCUGGACCGGCAUUGACGCUGAGGAGCGAAAGCCAGGGGAGCAAACGGG